This 513-nucleotide ribosomal RNA is filed under the name uncultured Glomus. RNAcentral describes it as "SSU rRNA". It matches the Rfam family "Eukaryotic small subunit ribosomal RNA", at positions 569 to 1081 of the family's 1831-position model. Lineage: Eukaryota; Fungi; Glomeromycota; Glomeromycetes; Glomerales; Glomeraceae. The record is from RNAcentral.
AGCAGCCGCGGUAAUUCCAGCUCCAAUAGCGUAUAUUAAAGUUGUUGCAGUUAAAAAGCUCGUAGUUGAAUUUCGGGAUCAAUUUGCUGGUCGUGCCUUCGGUACGCACUGGUAUUAUUGGUUUCUCCUUUCUGAUGAAUCGCGAUGUCAUUAAUUUGGUGUCGUGGGGAAUCAGGACCGUUACUUUGAAAAAAUUAGAGUGUUUAAAGCAGGCUCACGCUUGAAUACAUUAGCAUGGAAUAAUGAAAUAGGACGUUUGAUUCUAUUUUGUUGGUUUCUAGGAUCGACGUAAUGAUUAAUAGGGAUAGUUGGGGGCAUUAGUAUUCAAUUGUCAGAGGUGGAAUUCUUGGAUUUAUUGAAGACUAACUACUGCGAAAGCAUUUUGCCAAGGAUGUUUUCAUUAAUCAAGAACGAAAGUUAGGGGAUCGAAGACGAUCAGAUACCGUCGUAGUCUUAACCAUAAACUAUGCCGACUAGGGGAUCGGAUGAUGUUAAUUUUUUAAUGACUCAUUC